CAGAUAUCGCUAAGGGCAAUUAAGUGGAGAAUAAAAGACUGGAGCAAGUGAGAAACAGAUCAGACCAACACUUAUGUGGGCAAAGGAAGAAACCCUAGUAGUCGAGUAAUAGCUGUAGCGUUAGAGGAGUACUUCCACCAGCUAAGACAGAACAUUGUCCAAACCCAACCACUAGACAAACAGGCACCCUUGGUUCAGUGUUUUUGAUAAUCUCAUGGAAGGAAUAAAGAAAAUUCCUGACCAAAAACAGAUAUAGGUUUACUCAGAAUCUGUCAGUGUUCCGCAGAGACAUCAAUGACUUCGUGAAGGAUCCAAAUAUAGAUAGUGCAGCAGUGGGUGAUAUGAUGAA
This is a long non-coding RNA of Limulus polyphemus (Atlantic horseshoe crab), 349 nucleotides long. RefSeq lists it as uncharacterized. The transcript is spliced from 3 exons. The record is from RefSeq and is a predicted model, not a curated record. NCBI's taxonomy places the organism in Eukaryota, Metazoa, Arthropoda, Merostomata, Xiphosura, Limulidae.